GCUUACACAUGCAAGUUGACGGGGCACUUAAGUUUACUUGAGUGCUUAGUAGCGGACGGGUGAGUAACGCGUGAGCAACCAACCUUUGUGAGGGGGACAACAGCUGGAAACGGCUGCUAAUACCGCAUAAGACCACAGCCUCGAUUGGGGCAGGGGUAAAAGAAAUUCGCACAAAGACGGGCUCGCGUCCCAUUAGCUAGUUGGUGAGGUAACGGCUCACCAAGGCAACGAUGGGUAGCCGACCUGAGAGGGUGAUCGGCCACACUGGAACUGAGACACGGUCCAGACUCCUACGGGAGGCAGCAGUGGGGAAUAUUGGGCAAUGGGCGCAAGCCUGACCCAGCAACGCCGCGUGAGGGAAGACUGUCUUCGGAUUGUAAACCUCUGUCCUUGGGGACGAAAAAAAUGACGGUACCCAAGGAGGAAGCUCCGGCUAACUACGUGCCAGCAGCCGCGGUAAUACGUAGGGAGCGAGCGUUGUCCGGAAUUACUGGGCGUAAAGGGUGCGUAGGCGGAUAUUUAAGUGGGAUGUGAAAACCCCGGGCUCAACCUGGGGACUGCAUUUCAAACUGGAUAUCUAGAGUGCAGGAGAGGAAAGCGGAAUUCCUAGUGUAGCGGUGAAAUGCGUAGAGAUUAGGAAGAACACCAGUGGCGAAGGCGGCUUUCUGGACUGUAACUGACGCUGAGGCACGAAAGCGUGGGUAGCAAACAGGAUUAGAUACCCUGGUAGUCCACGCCGU
This 740-nucleotide ribosomal RNA is filed under the name uncultured bacterium. RNAcentral describes it as "bacterial SSU rRNA". It matches the Rfam family "Bacterial small subunit ribosomal RNA", at positions 46 to 803 of the family's 1533-position model. The record is from RNAcentral.